Molecule: non-coding RNA, 72 nt
Organism: Heterocephalus glaber (naked mole-rat)
Lineage: Eukaryota; Metazoa; Chordata; Mammalia; Rodentia; Bathyergidae
Source: Rfam
GGGCCUAUAACUCAGUGGUAGAGUGCUUGCCUAGCAUGUAGGAGGCCCAGUGUUCAAUCUCCUGUACCACCA